CUUCUCUUGCUGCACUCAAAAAGUGGGUCUCACAUACUGUGUUCAGAAAUCUGACAUCUUAUUGUGUAUUGGAAACAAAGUGGAUCUUGUUCCUGGUCACUCAGCUCAUGAUGAAUACAAAAGGCGUUUACAGAGGCUUGCAGAUCCUUUUGCUGGUUCAGAUGUGGAUUCAUUUGAGUAUGGAGUUUUUGAAUCUGAGGGUAGUAGUUUAUUGGGAAAUGAUGAGCCAUCUUGUGAUAUCAAGAGCUCAUGCUUUGGAUGGUGCAUGGAGCAUAACAUUGAAUAUGUUGAGGCGUGCGCUUCUAAUCCUGAAUUUGAUAAAUGUUCAAGAGAUAUACAAACAAUAAUAUGAGAAGAUCAAUGAGCUUCUAAGAAAGCUUCAGAAUGCUCAUGAGGAGUCAAAAGCUGUGACAAAGGCUUCUGCAAUGAAAGGUUUUCACAACUCCAAGGGAGGGGCUCUUUACCAAGAGGAGUUGGAUGAAGUUCGAGACAAGUGGGCUACUUACUUCAACUAUUGUGAACUACCCUCAGUGUAAUAAAUAGAACAGACUUGUAGUUAUCCG
Spinacia oleracea (spinach) is the source of this 563-nucleotide long non-coding RNA. RefSeq lists it as uncharacterized. The record is from RefSeq and is a predicted model, not a curated record. The transcript has 4 exons. Lineage: Eukaryota; Viridiplantae; Streptophyta; Magnoliopsida; Caryophyllales; Amaranthaceae.